Molecule: long non-coding RNA, 7096 nt
Organism: Dermacentor andersoni
Lineage: Eukaryota; Metazoa; Arthropoda; Arachnida; Ixodida; Ixodidae
Source: RefSeq, a predicted model, not a curated record
GAAGGCAAGGAAACGCUGGAUAAACUUAAGUUCAAGAUACGGUACGGUGCGGUUCUGCUAUUUCUGAAAAAUGAAACCAUGCAAAUAUGCCUAGCGGACAACGUACUCAGUGCAGAAGCAGAGCCGCAUUAAAUAAAGAGCAUCGCAGGUUCCAGGCGACACUACGGAAGCGGUCGCACGUCACGUCGACACUUCUGUGCCCUCCGAGGUAACUUUGCGGCUAUAGCAUUUCUCAAGGCCGCGGAUUUGAUCCAAACCGCGGCAUCCGCAUUUCAACGGGGGUGAAAUAGAAAACGCACGUGCAGUUACAUUUUGGGAAAUGUUAAAGAACACCACAAUGUCAAAUUAAUCCGGAGUCCGCCACUACAGCGUGCCUCAUAAUGCGAUUGUGGUUUUGGCAGGUACAGCUCGAUAAUCCAAUUCAAGUUUUGUACUUCUGCCACGAUUCAAUGUGUCAUGUGAGUCAAUGAUAAUGCUCAAACCUCUCACAGGUUAUAAAAUAUGGCGCACAACAAUGCCUCGGACAAGGACCUCUUCCUGUGUGUUCUGUGUACUAUGCAAACAAACAGCAGUGGUGCAGACAAGGUAAGGUUUAAUAUUAACUCACCACUCUCGUGUUAGAAUAAACGUUGAAGAAAUUAAGCUUUCGCCGUCAACAUCACCGCUAAUUAUCGUAAAUCAAAGAAACCAGCACAGAAAUGUUUGAUUAUAUGGAUUGCAAUAGUACGUGUGAUCGGCAUAAUUUUUAACCUUUGAUUUGUGCGUUGCCGUUGUGCAUUGUGCUAAUUAAAUGCGCAGACGAAAUUCGCAGACAAACCGGAGCCAGCACGGAGGGUCAGGCGCCUUCCUCGUUCGCUUGCUUCGCAGUUUCAAACAAACACCGCCGACUUCACGUGCUGGUCAGUAACGUUUGCGCGUGAGAAAGCGUAACCAAGCACCAACAAAAUAACAUUUAUUCAUGACUUAAAUGAUAUUUCGCGACAAAAAGACGACACGGACGUGAGAGAAGACGACACACCAAGCGCAAUAUCAUUUAAGUAAUGGAUUACCAACUUGCCCGGGAUGCUGCUCUCAUAUAUUCAUGCUUUGGGAAAGCUACAUGUGUAACUUCUGCUAGAGCUGUGGGGCAGGGGAUAUUACGUCUUAAUUUUGCAAUCGGUAAGGUGGAAAAUCGGGAGAGCUGGUUUUGCAUCAUGAGGUCAUAAGAGCGCGAACUGAAACAUAUGUACCAAGUAAGGGACACACGCGGACGAGCGCUAGCUUUCAACUAUUUGAUUUUUUUUAUUGAACGGAUUUCUAUUCAAAGAGGAAAAGAAAGGUCGUGGCGUGACAGAAAAACAAAAAAAAACAAGAAAAAGCCGUCAAUUGGGAAAACAAACAUAUACAGAAACCAAAGCACGAAAUCGUCAAGGUACGCAUGCCUGUGCUUUCUAAAAAAUAAUUAUUGUUUUUCUGACAAUGCAACAGAAGACCUACUAACACAAUUAUCAUCCCGCGCCAUGCACGCAGCCUCAGCGCUAGUGCGAGUUCAUCCGUCCUGAUACCUAGUCACCACGCGGGGUAUCUGAACUCCAGUUUUCACCCACAGUCAAAAAAUAAGUAAAUAAAUAAAGAAGCCGGCAGUUGGAAGUUAGCGCUUGUCCCCGUGUGUCUCAAUUUCUUUGAGUAUAUGUUUUAGUACGCGCUGCUAUGACCUUAUUUUGCGCUCGGAUUCGCUCCCUAUUUCUAUGGGUCCACUUCUUUUGCUGAGGGUGUGUGGGAACUAGGGUAACGAAAUGGCGCCCCUACUGGUGACGCCGAGACUGCCCUGCUCCGCCGCUGGAGCGCGCUGCGCUCCCUUUAGAGGCGGACACGUCCCGCUGUGGUGAAACGUGCUGAAAAGCCAUCGGUCUCGCUGCCCGAGUCUCUCUAUGCCCAUGUUGAGCCGCACUUGUCGAACGGGGGCGGAGAGGGGGAGAGGGGCAUAGCUGAGCUAGCGAGAAGUUUUCGCAACAUAUUGCACGCCUGUACGCUUUAAAGCUUCUGAUGAACCUCUAUAUUAGUUUGAUAAUUUAUCCCUACCACAUAUGGCUUAAUGAGCUCUUUGAAACGUGAUCUUUCCUGCUCCAAUAGACAAAUGUACUGCCGAAGCCCUGUCUAAACGCCAAGCGCCAGGCUAAAUUUAGCUCCGCUCGCGUCAUGCGUGUUGUGUCAAUGGUGCGAUCUGCGCACGCGACACAUAUAUUCUCGACUAAUAGCUUCUUUCCUGUUCACCCUAAGGACUGUGGAAAGUAUCGCAGGAGGAAAGGGGCUGAUUUACACCUCAAAGCAUUGUUCUACUCUCGCAAAUGUCGAGUGCACCGAAAUGCAUUACUCACUCCGUCAGAAAGGAGAUAGCGAAAUGCUAUUUUCAAUCUGCCCUUCUGAGAGGAAGUACAAUGCGCGUUCAACUGUCACGGCAAUAGAGAACAAAACACAGCACAAGCUCCUGCUUUAACUGUAGGAAACUGACCCUCACUCACGCACGCACGCUGAACAAAGAGCACACCGUUUUGCUUCUAAGAGAACAGGCAGCCACAUUGCAAAGGAUAGCGGAGCUCGCGCUCUACUUUUUUACUCGGAGUUACCCCACCGCGCGCGCUCACAACUUCGAGGAGCAGUACAGCACCGGAGCAAGACAAUCCUUCCAGCGGGUCCAGCCAUUGUUCCAGCGUGCAGGAACCAAGGCCAUCCAAGGGGGAACGUGUCAUCCAUCUUGCGCCGCCACGAGAACAUGACAGUCGUUCUUCAUUCGUUGUAUAUAACAAGAAAUUUUUCACGGCACCCCCUUUAUAUGGCGCAAGAAGGCAGCUGCAAAGACACAAGGAUGUCAAGGAACCAGUCCAGCACGACUCCACAUGGUGCAAAGGAGCGCACUCCAAAGCAUCAAAUUGCAUUGCCAUGCAAUUUGGACGAGAAAACUAGAAUGUGAGCGUAUUGGGUCUGCGAUUUGACUAAAUGAGACCAAAACUUUCAGAAGACAGUGUGUCAUACCAAGACGAUAAUUCUCACGUGCUCUUGGCAGCCAUCUUGACAUAGAAUUUUUUGUAAUGUAUCUGAUGGGAAAGUCAAGCUUAAAUAUGCUUUCUGAGACAAACACAUAGGAGCAAGUCUCAUUCAAAAGUUAGAAAUAUGUUUUAAAGAAAAGCUUAUUAGUUUUGCGAGAAGUGACCAUUUUUUCUCUUGCCUCUCAACAGAUAUAUCCAUGUUACAAAAAAAUAGUGGUACAAUAACAUCGCAGGUUUGCUUAGUGACAUAAUACAUACUUGCAAUGAGCAUGGUGCCUGUGUUGACUACAAGAAGCAACGGCGCAUGCUUGGUUAGCUGCUAACAUAAUUUAACAGCACGUAAAUACAAGCGUGCUGUCAUUCUGUAUUUUAAAUGCUGACAUGAUGCAGACAGAUAUUCAUGUUUUGCCUUUUACCAUUUUUUGACCUUAAUUUAUAACUAUGGCUUCCUCCUAAGUUCCAGGAAGGGGAUGCAUUGGGAGUAGAGUACUCCCGGUUUAAGAAGUCAUCGUUUACGUACGUGCUCACGGAAUCAGCUCAUUAGAACCACUCGUGGCUCCUGAAGCGGGAGCAAGGAGCAAGGUCUUUAGCAACUAUACACCCUAGGUCUUAAUUAGAAGCCACAGAGUCGCUUUGAAUUGAAAACUUACUUUGGCACAUGUAAAACUGUGGUUUCUUCUUCUGUGAAAUAGUCAUAUGCGUGCUCCUGGCAGGCAUUUGAGAUUUUGAUUAGGAUGACUCAAUUUACGUGCCAGCCAAAUCUCCUAGCGGAGGCAGAGAGGUGUUUAAUGCAAAGAAUUGUGAAAGAAACUGUGUGGAACACUUGUUCAUCAAUUGGCAGAUGUCAACAUAUAGUGUCAACCAAGCAAAAGCCCCUUAGAUGGAUGGCUUCUGCAGGCAAAAUAAAGUGCAAUCAUUUUUGCACAUUGUAAUUUUGUUGACUCAAAAUAAAGUGCACAGUGAGGUAUUGUAUUGGUAUUCGCAGACACAUGUAUACUUGCUUUGGGACGAAGACAAUAUUCUGUGAAGUUGGUCCAUAGCAAAAGUAACGCAUAGCCGCAUGCAAAACCCACGAGCACUGAAAGGAUAUGUAAAACAGGAUGGUGCCUUUCCCAAUUAAAGAUUUGCUUCUUUGUUUGUCUUUGUCGUGCCGUGCCUGUACUUAUAUAUAUCUCGCCUUUGAUGCAUCAUAUUCAUCACAUCUUAUUCUUGGUUCACGUCCGAAGCCAUGUUGUACUAUACACCGCCAAAGCUCGACUCAGUUUCUAACCUUAUUUCCACUACAGAUAGCAACGUUCUCAUUCUAACGCAAACUUGGUUAAACACAGCCAUUGACAACACCGAAAUUCAGAUUGUCUUUACCGACUUCCAUAUCUUCCGUUGCGAUCGUUAUGUGAGGCGAGGAGGAGUGUUAAUAGCCACUAGCCGUAACCUUCAUUGUUUCAAAAUUGAUAUCUCCUCUCCAUUGGAAAUAUUGUUUGUGGAACUAAAAAUUCUCACCCACCCUUAAUAUUAGGAUCUUCAUAGCGUCCUCCUGAUGCUGAUUCAAGCGUUGUUGCAUGCUUCGACGAGGCACUUUACCCUCUGGCACAUUCUUUUCCUAACGCACCAAUCAUUCUGUUCGGUGAUUUCAACUUUGCAACAAUAGUAUGGUAUGACAUAGCACUGACAUUAUCGAAGCACAACGAAGAAACUCAAUUUAUUGACACGUGUCUUACGUUUGGCUUAUCUCAGUUCAUUUUCAACCCAACAAGGCAUAUAAAUCAAUCGUCCAGCUCGCUCGACCUCUUGUUUACCACGCAUCCUGACUUUCCUGAGCUAACAUUUUUGCUCGGGCUUAGUGAUCAUGCUGCAAUUCACGCUACUUAUCAAUUUCAUAUAGCAUAUCCCUCCAAAAUAAGAAAGACCAUAACGCUCUACGACAGAGGUGAUUAUGUCGCGUUCAAUGAAAAGUUAACUCAGUUCAGUUACUCCUAUCUCGAAACGUUUAUUUGUCGUUCCGUUGAAGAUUACUGGUUAAUCUUUAAAUCCAAAAUGCAGGAACUAACGAAAGCCCACAUUCCUACCAUCACUGUAACUGAACGGCCCUCAUCGCCUUGGUUUGAUAAAGCAUUAAAACGCCUGAACAAUAAAAAGGAAAGGCUCUAUCGUAUCGCCAAGCAAUCUAACAUGCCACGCGCAUGGGAAAAGUACCGCUGCAUUGACAAAAUGUUUCAGUCACAAGCUAACACAACUAAGCAAUCAUUCUUUUCAACCUCACUUCCUGAUAUGCUACGCAAUACCCCUCGUCAAUUCGGGAAGGUUGUCAAUCCAUGCCCAAAGAAAUCGAUAAACAUACUUGAGAAAUAUGGCGUCCCUAUCCCUCAUACCGAACUUGCAACAACACUUCAUUCAAUAUUUUGUUCAGUUUUUACAUAAGAAUCUGAAGGCAAUCUUCCUCACUUUUACUAACCCUCAAUAUCCUCUCAUGCCAGCCAUCACGUUUGAACCUGAUGGCAUUUGCAGUCUAAUAGAAUCUUUGAAGCUAACUUCAUCGACUGGUAUUGACGAAAUUAACGCGAAAGUGCUUAAAAAUACAAAAAUGUCGCUAGUGUCAUCUUAUCACACAUUUUUCAACAGUCACUCUCGUCUGGAGUGGUGCCGCAGGACUGGAAGACAGGUAAGAUCAUUCCAGUCCCCAAAAAAGCUUCUUCAACGACAUGUCUUGACUACCGGCCAAUUUCCAUUACAAGUGUCUGUACCAAACUGAUGGAGCAUGUCAUCUUUUCCCACAUCAUCAAAUUUCUCAUUUCUAACAACAUUUUUUAUCAUAGUCAGCACGGAUUUCUUAAGAAUUUAUCUUGCGAUACUCAACUUGCAUUUUUUAUAAAUGGCAUCAGUUCCCAAUUAAACCUUAAUGUACCCGUAGAUCCGUUGUUUUUAGACUUCGAGAAAGCUUUUGAUAAGGUACCCCACAAUCGUCUUUUCUUGAAACUUUCAUCCUGAAUCUCAAUCCCCUAAUGUAUAAUUGGUUGCGCAGUUUUCUGUCCAGUCGGCAACAGUUCGUUUUUGCAAAUAACUUUUCAUAUCCUCUGUCUCCUGCGCUUUCUAGAGUUCCUAAAGGUUCUUUUCUUGGCCCCCUUCUCUUCUUAAUCUACAAUAAUGAUAUUCCUGAUUAUAUAUCUUCUAGCAUACACCUAUUUGCGGACGACUGUGUUAUUUACCUACCCAUUAACAAUAUCUCAGUUAUCCCUGUCCUACAGUGGGACUUACAAACAGUUCAAAAAUAAUGCAAGACAUGGUUAAUGUCAUGAAAUGUAAAUAAAACCUCAUUAAUCUCUUUCCAUUGUUGGCAUUCUUAUGUAGCACCCUCAUAUCUCUUAGGUAACUCGAUAAUAUCAUCUAUGGCGUGUUAUAAAUACCUAGGGCUUAUUUUAACGCACGAUCUUUCAUGGUCCUCUCACAUCGCUAAAGUAACUAACGAGGCUAACCGCACCUUAGGCUUUCUCAGGCGAAAUCUGAAAUUCGCCCCUCCUUCGGUAAAAACUUGCCUACAAAUAUGUGGUAACGCCCAAACUUGAAUACGCAUGCUCGGUUUGGGAACCUCAUCUUACUAAUCUUUCUAAUCUGUUCUAAUGUGUGUUUUGCAUCGGUCCAAAACCCCGCAGCCCGAUUUGUCUUCGAUGACUAUUCUUCAUAUACUAGUGUCACAGCGCUAAAAUAUAAUGUGAAUCUUUCUAGUCUAGAAACUAGACGUCAAGUGUCCAGGCUCAUUCUACAUCGCAAGUUUUACCAUGCCCCGAAUGGUAACAACGUCAUAUCACCCGCUCACCGCCAUUCAUCUCGGACUAAUCAUUCAAAGUCAGUAUAGCCCGCGCAUGCGCGCACAUCAUCCCAUCUGCAUUCGUUUUUCCCCCAUACAGUGACAGACUGGAAUGAUCUGCCUGAAGAAGCGGCGGACCACUCCAGUGCGACUGAGUUCAAGACUGCCAUCGAACACCUUCUUUGAAGCUGCCCACCCCUCAUGUAUAACCCUUCUCCAGGGGCAUUUCAGGAAUGAAUAAAUAAAUAAAUAAUUAAAUAAAUAAAUA